CCCUAGCCCCGAUGGAAGUGGAAAUCCUUUUUUGGAUUACCCGUAGCGCAGCGAAGGGAAAUCUUCAUGGAGCGCAGCGGAAUGCAAAAAAGAUUACAACGUACAGCGGGAAACAGC
Molecule: small RNA, 117 nt
Filed under: Flavobacterium caeni
Lineage: Bacteria; Pseudomonadati; Bacteroidota; Flavobacteriia; Flavobacteriales; Flavobacteriaceae
Description: Flavo-1 RNA
Rfam family: Flavo-1 RNA
Source: Rfam by way of RNAcentral